Dermacentor andersoni is the source of this 640-nucleotide long non-coding RNA. RefSeq lists it as uncharacterized. Lineage: Eukaryota; Metazoa; Arthropoda; Arachnida; Ixodida; Ixodidae. The record is from RefSeq and is a predicted model, not a curated record.
CGCGGCACGCGAAGCGUGCGCCGCGCGUCAUUGGAGAUUUUGGUUUCGAAUGCGCAGUACGUGAUGGUGUUACAGGAAGCCGGCCGGCCGCUGCCGCCGGACUUGAGUUUCGCUACAAGCACCUUUCCGGUAUCUGUGCAAUCCCGUCGUUGUCGGCAGCAGCAGUAGCAGGUGUGGGCGGUCCCGUGCCAGGCUAAUCAACGUAUCGGCCAGGUACUGUUUCGCUAGCCGGAGCGGUUUCGUCUGUCCCGAGUUUUCCUCCCGUCUUCUGCCGGUGUCUUCCCGCCACUGUCGUCUGCUAAGUUGCACCGCAGUGGACGUCGCCAGUCUCCGUCGAGAGGAAGGAGCAACAGACUUUGGCCGCUGCGUCUUCGCAAACAGAAGAUCACACCUCACCGCGUCGUCUGGCGCAAGCUGGGUGCGCGUCGUCUGCUUGUGGUGACCUUCUGGAGAUGUACGUGACCCGAUGCUCUGAGCUGGCCGUGGUGUUCCCACCUCUGCUCGACAGCCGACGUGUCUGCGCUAGCGACGACAAUGCCGUCAAGGACGCACUUGGAAGGUCGAGAGUCCGGGUGUGCGACGGCGCCCUCUGGUGGCUGCGCUGGAUGCCUGCCGAAGACCCGUGCUUAUCCCUAGGUGA